Molecule: unclassified non-coding RNA, 148 nt
Organism: Macaca fascicularis (crab-eating macaque)
Lineage: Eukaryota; Metazoa; Chordata; Mammalia; Primates; Cercopithecidae
Rfam family: Metazoan signal recognition particle RNA
About the family: The signal recognition particle (SRP) is a universally conserved ribonucleoprotein. It is involved in the co-translational targeting of proteins to membranes. The eukaryotic SRP consists of a 300-nucleotide 7S RNA and six proteins: SRPs 72, 68, 54, 19, 14, and 9.
Source: Ensembl
GCCAGGCAUGGUGGUGUGUUCCUGUAAUCCCACUUACUCGGGAGGCUGAGGCAGGAGGAUCGCUUGAGCCUGGGAGUUGGAGGCUGCAGUGAGCUAUGAUUGCACCACUGCACUCCAGCCUGGGUUACAGAGCAAGACCCCGCCUCUU